AUAAAAAUAAAUAAGGUUGUGAGUCAGUUUGUCCAGAUCUUCACAGAAAGAGGAAACAGAACAUGAGGAUUUCCAGAGGUGCAAAGCAUAAGGUAAUUUUUAAGGAUUCAGACAAUAUUCAGUAUGACUGGCAUAAGGUUUGUGUAGGAGUCUAACCAGGGGUGAAGCUAGAGAUCUAAGUAGGAGACCACAUCAUUAAGCAUCUUUACAAUCAUUAUAAGGGCAUUCUUAAUAUUCACACAAAGGCAAUUGGAACCCACUUAAAAUCAUGUCACUCCCCUUCCAAUUCUUCUGAUCCUCCAAUAUUGUGAUUGGUUCUUCAUUUUCUGCUCACUUGACCUCUUUCCACCAUCUUGCCACCCCUUCCUUUGAAUGGCAGAUAGGUUAAAUAGAUAGCUUACAUUUUAAAUCUUUUGGUGCAUUAUUUUCUGCAUAGUGCUUUGCUGGGGUGAUAUAUUUCCCCCUGUUAUUUCAAGAUUCAGAUUUUAGUCAUUUCUGAUUUUAAAAAGAAUGAUAUCUCACUCCAUAACCUAUAUUUAAAACUAAAAAUAAACGUAUUUUUACCAUUGUAUAAAAACCUUCUAAAAAGAGAAAAAGCAUUACUGUUAAAACAACUUGAUUUCACAAGCCAAAUUAGAGUUUCACAGGGAAACUGAAAAAGGGCAGAGGUAAUUUAGCUGAAAUUGGCAUGGCAGUUAUGUACCAUGUUGGUCAACCUUUUCAAAGGCAUAAAUCACAACAGGCUACAUCAGAUUGGGAACAAAAUCAUUUUGGUGGACUGAGAACUGUUUUUCAUUUCCACAGCUAGACUUGGAAUUUUCCAAACAAGCUGGAUAAGAGAAAGCCAUUUGUGCUGUGCCCUAGAAAACUAAAGACCUCUGCAGGUUCCAUAAAUACAUGAGCUAAUUGUUUGCUAUAUUCCAAAUAUUUCCAAUUUAUUUAAUGUAUCUCCUAAUGGGAAAAAAAACAGUAGGAAGUAGCACUGGCCAGUUAGAAGUUAGAGGCAGUAAGGCAUAGCAGAUAGGAACACGGGCUUUGAAGUCAGAUUCCUGUCUUUCCAUCAGGAAGAAGAACUUUCCAUAAUAGGAACUAUGUGUUCCUUACAAAUUUCUCUACAUUUCAAGCCUCCUCAUCUUUCAUAUAGUGC
RNAcentral lists this long non-coding RNA (1147 nucleotides) under Homo sapiens (human). RNAcentral describes it as "HSALNT0217084". The record is from RNAcentral. Lineage: Eukaryota; Metazoa; Chordata; Mammalia; Primates; Hominidae.